This 77-nucleotide transfer RNA is filed under the name Verrucomicrobiota bacterium. RNAcentral describes it as "tRNA-Pro". It matches the Rfam family "tRNA". Rfam says of the family: Transfer RNA (tRNA) molecules are approximately 80 nucleotides in length. RNAcentral also lists the same sequence under 2 other names. The record is from RNAcentral. Lineage: Bacteria; Pseudomonadati; Verrucomicrobiota.
CGGGGCGUAGCGCAGUCUGGUAGCGCACCUGCCUUGGGCGCAGGUUGUCGUGGGUUCAAAUCCCGCCGCCCCGACCA